This 964-nucleotide ribosomal RNA is filed under the name uncultured bacterium. Its description in RNAcentral is "bacterial SSU rRNA". It matches the Rfam family "Bacterial small subunit ribosomal RNA", at positions 28 to 1010 of the family's 1533-position model. The record is from RNAcentral.
GACGAACGCUGGCGGCGUGCCUAACACAUGCAAGUCGAGCGAUGAAAUCCCUUUGGGGAUGGAUUAGCGGCGGACGGGUGAGUAACACGUGGGUAACCUGCCUCAAAGAGGGGGAUAGCCUCCCGAAAGGGAGAUUAAUACCGCAUAACAUUAUUUUCUCGCAUGAGAAGAUAAUCAAAGGAGCAAUCCGCUUUGAGAUGGACCCGCGGCGCAUUAGCUAGUUGGUGAGGUAACGGCUCACCAAGGCGACGAUGCGUAGCCGACCUGAGAGGGUGAUCGGCCACAUUGGAACUGAGACACGGUCCAGACUCCUACGGGAGGCAGCAGUGGGGAAUAUUGCGCAAUGGGGGAAACCCUGACGCAGCAACGCCGCGUGAGCGAUGAAGGUCUUCGGAUUGUAAAGCUCUGUCUUUGGGGACGAUAAUGACGGUACCCAAGGAGGAAGCCACGGCUAACUACGUGCCAGCAGCCGCGGUAAUACGUAGGUGGCAAGCGUUGUCCGGAUUUACUGGGCGUAAAGAGUAUGUAGGCGGAUAUUUAAGUCAGAUGUGAAAUUCCCGGGCUUGACCUGGGCGCUGCAUUUGAUACUGGAUAUCUAGAGUGUGGGAGAGGAAAGUGGAAUUCCUAGUGUAGCGGUGAAAUGCGUAGAGAUUAGGAAGAACACCAGUGGCGAAGGCGGCUUUCUGGACCAUAACUGACGCUGAGAUACGAAAGCGUGGGGAGCAAACAGGAUUAGAUACCCUGGUAGUCCACGCCGUAAGCGAUGAAUACUAGGUGUCGGGGGGUACCACCCUCGGUGCCGCAGCAAACGCAAUAAGUAUUCCGCCUGGGGAGUACGGUCGCAAGAUUAAAACUCAAAGGAAUUGACGGGGACCCGCACAAGCAGCGGAGCAUGUGGUUUAAUUCGAAGCAACGCGAAGAACCUUACCUAGACUUGACAUCUCCUGAAUUACUCGUAACUGAG